UUCCGUUGAUCGGGAGAGACCGGCCCUGCAACGGGAACCGGCGCCGAAGGAGCAACCGCCCCGGAAACUCUCAGGCAAAAGGACCGAUCGACGCAC
Molecule: non-coding RNA, 96 nt
Organism: Hydrogenophaga sp. A37
Lineage: Bacteria; Pseudomonadati; Pseudomonadota; Betaproteobacteria; Burkholderiales; Comamonadaceae
Source: Rfam